GGGGGUUUCGGCCCCUCAUAAUUAGUCUGUGGAAGGCUCAUUAUAUCAGUUAUACACCUAGCCGCUGGAAGAAUUAUUAGGAUACCACCGUUAACAGCAGCGAUAAUACUUGCGUCUUACGAUCGGGUUUUCUGGGCAUUCUGAAUGAUCCGGAUAAACACACUUGAUUGCUUAACGGCAGUCAAGUACCGACCGCGAGGUGAUUAAACGAGUCCAAUUCUGGAUGAGUGUAUACCGGCGGCCUGGCAGAGGUGUUUCUUACCUAUCAGCAAGAUGUUUGUGUAAAGGACAAACAUGGCAUUGACGGGUACGGGGAAUUAGUGUUCGAUUCCGGAGAGGGAGCCUGAGAGAUUGCUACCACAUCUAAGGACGGCAGCAGGCGCGCAAAUUGCCCAAUUCUCAAGGGGAGAGAGGCAGUGACAAGCUAUAGUGACCUAACAUCGAACGAUGGUAAGGUAGCAAUUCCCGAAAGGGGGUUGUUUUUCCAUGGGAGGAGUUUAAAACACUCCUCGAGCAGCCAUUGGAGGAAAAGUCUGGUGCCAGCACCCGCGGUAAUUCCAGCUCCAAGAGCGUAUAUUAAUACUGCUGUAGUUAAAACGCCCGUAGUAGGUUUAAUGGGAAUAUCCAUACAUUCCUGCUCAUUGUUGUGUGUGUAACUUGCGGGUAACACUGCGAGUGAUAGCAUACGAUGAGCCUCGCGAGAUUGGUUUAUGCCAUGAUUCGAGGUUGUAUGGGUAUUUCUGUUCCCUGUUGUUCGCAACAGGAGGCCACUGCCUUUUGCACCUGUGAUAAAAUUGUUAUGCUUAAGGUCGGCUUUGUCAACAAGCUAGAGCAUCCUAGCA
Molecule: ribosomal RNA, 842 nt
Filed under: Willaertia magna
Lineage: Eukaryota; Heterolobosea; Eutetramitea; Acrasida; Naegleriidae
Description: SSU rRNA
Rfam family: Eukaryotic small subunit ribosomal RNA
Source: RNAcentral